Myxocyprinus asiaticus (Chinese sucker) is the source of this 2411-nucleotide long non-coding RNA. RefSeq lists it as uncharacterized. The transcript has 3 exons. The record is from RefSeq and is a predicted model, not a curated record. NCBI's taxonomy places the organism in Eukaryota, Metazoa, Chordata, Actinopteri, Cypriniformes, Catostomidae.
UUGAGUAAAUUUGGAAAUCAUUUUCACAUAACACUUCAAGAAGAUAUCUAUACUGUACUUUUUUCAUUAUGAACUGAUUAGUAAUUAAAUAAAACUACUGAAUUAGUAAUUGAUUAUUCAAAUAAAUAUUUGAAUAAUUAUGUAUUUAUGAAUAUAUUUUGCUCAUAAUACUAAAGCCACAUUACUCUUAAAUCAUAUUAAAAAAAAAAUCCUAUCUGCGCUUAUCAGAAAACAUAUACGGCGAUACAAUACAUCUGUGAAAGGCUAAUAUCAGCCGAUAAUUCCGGCACUAAUGUAGGGCCAUAUCGCACUCUUGCUCGUGUGACAUUGCUUAAAUAUAUAUAUAGACACUGCUGUUCAAAAGUUUGGGUUCACUUGACUGAAAUGUUUCUCAUGAUCUUAAAAAUCUUUUGAUCUGAAGGCGUAUGCUUAAAUGUUUCAAAUGAGUUGUGUAGACAAAAAUAUAAUUGUGACAACAUAUUAAUUUAUUUCAUUAUAAAUCUAAAAUGACUUCGAAAAGCAGCCAAUAAGUACCCAACAUAGAUGGGAACUCCUUCAAUACUGUUUAAAAAGCAUCCCAGGGUGAUACCUCAAGAAGUUGGUUGAGAAAAUGUCAAGAGUACAUGUCUGCAAAUUCUAGGCAAAGGGUGACUACUUUGAAGAUGCUAAAAUGAGUUUUGAUUUAUUUUGGAUUUUGUUUAGUCACAACAUAAUUCCUACAGUUCCAUUUAUGUUAUUCCAUAGUUUUGAUGACUUUACUAUUAUUCUAAAAUGUGAGAAAAAUUAAAAUAAAGAAUGAGUAAGUGACCCUAAACUUUUGACCGGUAGUGUGUGUGUGUGUGCGUGUAUGUAUAUAUAUAUAUAUAUAUAUAUAUAUAUACACACACACACAUACAUACACACUCACACACACACACACCGAUGGCUCUAAACAUUAUGAUCACCUCCCUAAUAUACUGUUGGUCCUUCGCGUGCCACCAAAACAGCGUGGACCUGCCGAGGCAUGGACUCUACAAGACCCCUGAAGGUGUCCUGUGGUAUCUGGAGCCAAGACAUUAGCAGCAGAUCCUUGAAGUCAUGUAUGUUGUGUGGUGGAGCUGCCAUGGAUCGGACUUGUUGGUCGAGCACAUCCCAUAGAUGCUCAGUCAGAUUGAGAUCUGGGGAAUUUGGAGGCCAGGGCAACACCUUGAACUCUUCAUCAUGUUUCUCAAAUCAUUCCCGAACAAUGCGUGCAGUGUGGCAGGGUGCAUUAUCCUGCUGAAAGAGGCCACUGCCAUCAGGGAAUACCACUGCCAUGGGCACUCUGAUCAGUCUGUGGCAGGGUGUGAUGCACUGUGUGUUGUGACACAUUCCUCCCGUAACCAUCAUUAAAAUUUUCUGCGACUUGUGCCACAGUAGACCUUCUGUCAGUUUGGACCAGAUGGGAUAGCCUUUGUUGCCCUCAUGAAUCGAUGAGCCUCGGGCACCCAACACCCUUUCACCAGUUUGUGGUUUGUCCCUCCACGGACCACUGUCGUUGUCAUAGGUCUGUACUCCUGCCUAUUUCUCCUGCAUUCACGAUGACUACGAGAAAUGAUUGUUUGAAUACCAUCUAAUCUACACAGACUUUGACAUGUGGCCUUGUUGGAAGAUGAUCAAUGUUAUUCGCUUCACCUUAGGACAAUGCUCCAUGCCACACAUCCAGAUCAAUCAAGGUGUGGAUGAAGGACAACCGGAUCAAGACCCUGUCAUGGCCAUCCCAAUUUGCAGACCUGAACCCCAUUGGAAACCUCUGGAAUGUGAUCAAGAGGAAGAUGGAUGGCCACAAACCAUCAAACAAAGCCGAGCUGCUUGAAUUUUUGUGUCAGGAGUGGCAUAAAUUCACCCAACAGCAAUGUGAAAGACUGGUAGAGAGCAUGCUAAGACCCAUGAAAACUGUGAUUGAAAAUCAGUGUUAUUCCACCAAAUACUGAUUUCUGAACUCUGAAAGUUAAACAUUAGUAUUGUGUUGUUUAAAAAUUAAUAUGAACUUGUUUCUUUGCAUUAUUCGAGGUCUUUUUUGUUAUUUUGACCAGUUGACAUUUUCUGCAAAUAAAUGCUCUAAAUGACAAUAUUUUUAUUUGGAAUUUGAGAGCAAUGUUGUCAGUACGUUAUAGAAUAAAACAAAAAAUGUUCACAUACCAGUAAAUAGUAAAUCCAGAGAAACUGAUAAUUUUGCAGUGGUCUCUUAAUUUUUUCCAGAGCUGUAUAUUAUGAAUAAUUUACUAUAAAAUCAUUACGAUUUGGUUAUUAAUUAUAAUCACGCGUGAAUCUAUUAUUUAAACAAUUUCUUUUUUAUUCUAUAAUAAUAUUUCUGCUAUAUUUAAUAUUGUUACAUUAUUAUAUUAAAAUAAAUAUUACAUUUUAAUAUUUAUUAAAAUAAAUGUAUUAUU